This 458-nucleotide unclassified non-coding RNA is filed under the name Hevea brasiliensis (rubber tree). The record is from RNAcentral. Lineage: Eukaryota; Viridiplantae; Streptophyta; Magnoliopsida; Malpighiales; Euphorbiaceae.
UCAAGCAGAAGCUAUGGCUCGUGCUGACAUGCUGAGAUUCCAGCCUGAGGUACUUGUUCAGUCACAUUUCUCAUCAUUUGAACUUUGUCCAAAAAUAACGAGAUGGAAAAUUGUUCUCUCUCUCUAAUAGAAGCAAAUAAGAAAAUUUUGGUAGGAUGGAAAUCUAAGUUUCUAACUCUUGGAGCUUUAUAAAAUUAGAGCUGAUGGAUUAGAUUGUUUCUGUUCAGUUUAUCCUGGUUACUUUGUUAGGACAUGCAUUAGUCAUGAAUGGUUGGUCAGUCAGGUUGACUGCUAGAGAUAUCUUGAUUAGUGUUUUAAACUUUGGCAAGCCUGUCUGAUUGGUCGUAUGUUUUUGGGUUGGGGAGCUUAUGUAUCAGAUACAUUGUGUGUGUGUGUGUGUGUGCGGAAAUUUCUAAAGUUUUAGUAGUUUUAUUAAAAUUGUGUGUGUGUGUGUGUGU